GCUGCGAUGGCCGAGUGGUUAAGGCAUUAGACUUAAAUUCUAAUGGGAUCUUCCUGCGUAGGUUCGAACCCUACUCGCAGCG
Hydractinia symbiolongicarpus is the source of this 82-nucleotide non-coding RNA. Lineage: Eukaryota; Metazoa; Cnidaria; Hydrozoa; Anthoathecata; Hydractiniidae. The record is from the annotation of a RefSeq genome assembly.